RNAcentral lists this ribosomal RNA (506 nucleotides) under uncultured bacterium. RNAcentral describes it as "partial 16S ribosomal RNA". It matches the Rfam family "Bacterial small subunit ribosomal RNA", at positions 28 to 523 of the family's 1533-position model. The record is from RNAcentral.
GAUGAACGCUAGCCACAGGCUUAACACAUGCAAGUCGAGGGGUAACAAGAGGAAAGCUUGCUUUCCUUGUUGACGACCGGCGCACGGGUGAGUAACGCGUAUCCAACCUGCCUAUAACUAGGGAAUAACCUUGCGAAAGUAAGACUAAUACCCUAUGAUUUCCUUUGAUGACAUCAGAUUAGGAAUAAAGAUUUAUCGGUUAUAGAUGGGGAUGCGUCUGAUUAGCUUGUUGGCGGGGUAACGGCCCACCAAGGCAACGAUCAGUAGGGGUUCUGAGAGGAAGGUCCCCCACAUUGGAACUGAGACACGGUCCAAACUCCUACGGGAGGCAGCAGUGAGGAAUAUUGGUCAAUGGGCGGAAGCCUGAACCAGCCAAGUAGCGUGCAGGAUGACGGCCCUAUAGGUUGUAAACUGCUUUUAUACAGGAAUAAAGUUAGCCACGUGUGGUUAUUUGUAGGUACUGUAUGAAUAAGGACCGGCUAAUUCCGUGCCAGCCGCCGCGGUAA